Phthorimaea operculella (potato tuberworm) is the source of this 74-nucleotide non-coding RNA. The record is from the annotation of a GenBank genome assembly. Lineage: Eukaryota; Metazoa; Arthropoda; Insecta; Lepidoptera; Gelechiidae.
CCUACCGUGGUGUAGCGGUUAACACGUCUGACUCGGCUUGUCAGAAUAUGUGCGUUCGAAUCCCAUUGGCGGCG